ACACAUCCUGCCCUGUUUAACCAUUGAUCCUUUCGCUGCAUUCCUCCUCUUUUAGGGUCUACUCUAGGCCACAUGAACCACAAGGAUGAGCAGACCAACAAGCACCUAUGAAAAGAGCAAGAGAAAGGCUUUAUUUGGAGCCAGAUGUGAAGAUGCACCCUUGUAAUCCCAGUACUUGAGAGGGGAGAUGAGAAGAAUGAGAGGGUUCAAGGACAGCCUGGACUACAAAGCAAGACUAUGACUCAUGAAGAAGAAAAAAAAAAAAAAAA
This is a long non-coding RNA of Nannospalax galili (Upper Galilee mountains blind mole rat), 269 nucleotides long. RefSeq lists it as uncharacterized. The transcript is spliced from 2 exons. The record is from RefSeq and is a predicted model, not a curated record. NCBI's taxonomy places the organism in Eukaryota, Metazoa, Chordata, Mammalia, Rodentia, Spalacidae.